This 1124-nucleotide long non-coding RNA is filed under the name Homo sapiens (human). Its description in RNAcentral is "novel transcript". Lineage: Eukaryota; Metazoa; Chordata; Mammalia; Primates; Hominidae. The record is from RNAcentral.
AAAGGUCAGAGGGACUGGCCGUAGGCACAUGUGAAGCUUUCUUGCCAAUCUUCAUUGAACUCACACUUCAAAAGUCAUGGUUUUCUCUUUGUUUUAUUGUAAUUUUCUGUUUUAUUAUAAAGAAGAUUGCAGAAAAGAGGCAGAAUAGGAGAGCUGAAAGACAAAAAAAGAGUAUCUAAACAACAGAGGACACAUACUGGAAUCUCUGGAGCUCAUCCCUUCAGAGGGCCCUUCCCAGAAGAACUGUAUCUCCACUUCCUCGGUUCUCUGGAAUAAAUUACAACCUUAUGACUCAUGAGUCCAAACAGGACAGUCUUUACGUCUACCCAUCUUAUGACUGAUGUGGCUCUCAAGGAACAAUAAAACCUAAGCAAAUUAUGGGAACAAGCAUUUAUCAACCACGCAAAUGAAGCCAUUCUUUGUAUGUAUUAUGCAUCUCAAUCUCCAUAUAUGGUUAUCAACGUAAUAAUUCAAAGUUUUUCUACACCAGGAGUUCCAAAAUCAAGCUACAUUCAAAGAGAGAAACAACACAUUGGAUACUCAAGUUAUGAACCGUGAGAAGAGUCAGAAAUUCCUUAUAGGAUAGAACAUGUGCAAUUGAAAUCUAAUAUUAAGUUUUCUGUGGAAAAACACAUAUAUGUGUACUAUAUGGCUAUCUGAUCAUUUUAAAAACAUACUCAGAAUACUUUAAUAAAACACUGUGAGUAUGAAUUAUCUAUGCUUUAAACACUUUACUUCUCUUUCUGCAUUUAUGCCAUCACUUCUUAUCUCUUCAUACCUUGAACUUUUUCUUUUCCCCCUCUCUCACUCUAUGACUCCUGAACAAAACUGUCAUUUCCAAUAUCUAACUUCAUUAACUAAGUAGGGAUGGCAGAUGUUUAUUAUCACCAAAAUGCAGCAUAACAUUUGCAAACUGGUUUAUGACAUGCAUCUUUAUAAAGUGCUCAGUGAAAUGCAUAAACGAUUGAUUGAAAAUUGGUCAAAGAGAAUAUUGAGUACUUUAUUAGUUACUGGCUAAAGCUAAGGAGUUACAGAAAAGCAUCAUAUCUAAAUAAGGAGUUUUAUUUGAAAUAUGUAAUUUCAUUAUGAAUAAAUUCCAUAAAAUAAACUAAGAAUUGCUAAAU